This 253-nucleotide ribosomal RNA is filed under the name Acinetobacter johnsonii. RNAcentral describes it as "partial 16S ribosomal RNA". It matches the Rfam family "Bacterial small subunit ribosomal RNA", at positions 32 to 268 of the family's 1533-position model. The record is from RNAcentral. Lineage: Bacteria; Pseudomonadati; Pseudomonadota; Gammaproteobacteria; Moraxellales; Moraxellaceae.
CUAACGCUGGCGGCAGGCUUAACACAUGCAAGUCGAGCGGGGGAAGGUAGCUUGCUACCGCGACUAGCGGCGGACGGGUGAGUAAUGCUUUAGGAAUCUGCCUAUUAAGGGGGGGGACACCUUCCCCAAAGGGGAUGCCCAUACCCGGAUAAUUCUAACGGGGAAAAAAGAAGGGGAUCUUCUGGGCCUUUUGCCCAUAAAAAUGGGGCCCAAAAGGCCCCCUUUACCCAAUUUGGGGGGGGAAAAGGCCNCC